GGGUUCUACCGUUGGUCGGGCUAUUGUCUGUACUGACGUUAGAAUUUCUACCUUCUGGGGAACCAUCAUGUUAUUAAUUUAGCGUGGUAGGAAACCAGAACCUUUACCUUGAAAAAAUUAGAGUGUUCAAAGCAGGCUUACGUCUGAAUACAUUAGCAUGGAAUAAUAAAAUAGGACGGU
This 180-nucleotide ribosomal RNA is filed under the name uncultured Glomeromycotina. RNAcentral describes it as "partial small subunit ribosomal RNA". The stretch from base 39 to 180 matches the Rfam family "Eukaryotic small subunit ribosomal RNA", at positions 687 to 831 of the family's 1831-position model. The record is from RNAcentral. Lineage: Eukaryota; Fungi; Glomeromycota.